CCCAACCUCUCACCACGAGGUGCCGGAAGCUGGGAGAUGCCGAACUAUCCUGCCGCGCUGCCAAGCGUCGACCGCAGAAGGCACCUGCCAACUACCCACCGCUACCCUUUUGGGUGUGGGGCAGUUUACAGACGAGGCUCCGUUGAGAAGCAAUUGCGGUGCAAGCUUUCCCUGACCGUGUGGCAAGCAUUGCCACUGCCAGCGCGCCGGCCAACCUGCACAUGAAAUGCGUCUUUUUCUCUUUUCUUCCUUUUCCUGCAGACCAUCCCUGGUCGACCCACCUGCCUGAAUUGGUCAACACAUGAAUGUACUGACAUGGAGACCUUGUCAAGACUCCAGGAUUAGACUUCCAAGAAAGGAAAGAACCACAAAGUGAUGAGGAAAUCAUAACCUGCGUAUUUGGAAGACUCAUUUUGUGCCAUCUGAGGCAAGUCCUGUGGAGAUGGUGUGAAAAAGAACAAAUGUGGUUUUGUCAAAAGUGGCUCCCACUGUUGUAUUAUAUAUUCAAAUGAACUCUUUUCAAAAGAGGGAUAAUAUGAUUGAUGUGCUCCCUUACAAUACAUGAAUCAGUUCAUUUAACUGUAUUUGUGAUUAGUGAGGAACUAUGUUUCAUGUACCUGAAAUAUUUCACUGGUGGUCGCAUGGGCUAAGGUUAAAAUUCAUCCAACCAUCUAUCCAUCCAUUUUCUUUACCGCUUAUCCUCACUAGGGUUGCGGGCUGCUGGAGCCUGUCCCAGCUAUCUUCGGGUGGGAGGCGGGGUACACCCUGAACCGGUCGCCAGCCAAUCGCAGGGCAGGCGGAAAUACAACCCAUCAAAUUUUGGCAUUGAUCCAGAUAAUGGUACAAAUCCAAAAUGACUGCAAUCCAGUAAAAUGAUAAGGGUAAAGUUGUGAUUUUCCAAGCAGUUGGAAGAAAAAAGAUAACAUUUUAACGAGUAAAUGUCGAAAUUCCCACACAAACAGCAUCCACUAGCUCUCACUCUGUCUCUCUAGAGCAGGGUUGUCAAACUCAUUUUUGCUGCGGGCCACAUCGUAGUUAUGGUUUCCCUCGGAGGGCCGUCAUGAGGGCGAACACAUAUACAGUAAAUGUACAAUUGCCUCAUGUUAUUACAUAUACACACACAAAUCGAUGAAUAACUAUAUUUGAAACCAGAAGCCAGUAAAAAGUUGUUAAUUCAGUUUAUUUUGAAAUGAGGAUUAGUUACAAAAAUGUUUGCAAUCAACGUUAUAUAAAAGGGAAGACGAUUUGCAAUGUUGUUAUUUUAGCAAGAAACGUGAAGUCGACGCACUUGAUUUGCUUUUGCGGGCCACAUAAAUUGAUGUGGCGGGCCGGAUGUGGCCAAAUUUGAACAAUGACAUAAGCAUAAGAUGAUAAGGGGGGAAAUACUUGUGCAAUUUGCAUUUGUAACCUUUUGUGUAAUAUUUUUUUGAGUAUCAGUGAAUCUCCUGUAAAUUGGCAAGUUCAUUUCAAGUCAAGGGUUCUGCUGUGGCUCUUGAUACUUCUUGAAACGGAGCAGAUAUGUGAUUUCGGCCAUGCAAGCAAUAAAAACCUUAUGUGUGUGUCUUCUCUCUUUCAUCUUAUUACACAUUCACUUUGAUAUUUUCCAAUGUGUGAGACUGCUGGCAGAAAGUAAUAACAAAAGAUGUUUUGUAACAUUCUCACAAAUCCAAUUCAAGGUUGCACACAACUGACAUUUGAUUCACAGCAGACUGUGUGUAGUUGAGGAGCCUAACAGGGAGAGAGUUAUAACAGGCAAGUCGCAUUAGACCAAUUAAUACAGUAGAAAUGUUUGUAUUUGAAACCUGCUUCA
This is a long non-coding RNA of Phyllopteryx taeniolatus (common seadragon), 1810 nucleotides long. RefSeq lists it as uncharacterized. The transcript has 3 exons. The record is from RefSeq and is a predicted model, not a curated record. Lineage: Eukaryota; Metazoa; Chordata; Actinopteri; Syngnathiformes; Syngnathidae.